RNAcentral lists this ribosomal RNA (326 nucleotides) under uncultured eukaryote. RNAcentral describes it as "partial 18S ribosomal RNA". It matches the Rfam family "Eukaryotic small subunit ribosomal RNA", at positions 1470 to 1796 of the family's 1831-position model. The record is from RNAcentral.
CCCUUAGAUGUCCUGGGCCGCACGCGCGCUACACUGAACGGAUCAGCGCGUUUUCCCUUCCCGAGAGGGACGGGUAACCUGCUGAACCCCGUUCGUGGUAGGGAUCGGGGCUUGCAAUUAUUCCCCGUGAACCAGGAAUGCCCAGUAAGUGCAAGUCAUAAGCUUGCGUUGAUUACGUCCCUGCCCUUUGUACACACCGCCCGUCGCUACUACCGAUUGAACGUUUUAGUGAGGUACUCGGACUGAGCCUCAGAAGAUUCACGUCUUUUGUGCUGUUCGGGAAGAUUCCCAAACUUGAGCGUUUAGAGGAAGUAAAAGUCGUAACA